CCAAAGGGCAUAAAGGUUAUUACCCCCUUAACGGACGAGCUGAAACACGUUCUUAGAGAGAGAGAGAGAGAGAGAGCGCGGAAGUGGUAGUUGUAAAAUCCUAGAGCCAGAGGCGGUGAAACGGAUAGAUUCAGGAAAUAGAUACGGGACUAUUGGAAUCCAACAGAAAUUGAGAAUAAGAAAGAUGGAUGGA
Rhododendron vialii is the source of this 193-nucleotide long non-coding RNA. RefSeq lists it as uncharacterized. The transcript is spliced from 2 exons. NCBI's taxonomy places the organism in Eukaryota, Viridiplantae, Streptophyta, Magnoliopsida, Ericales, Ericaceae. The record is from RefSeq and is a predicted model, not a curated record.